RNAcentral lists this long non-coding RNA (3317 nucleotides) under Mus musculus (house mouse). RNAcentral's name for it is "long non-coding RNA chr6:9035582-9038899". Lineage: Eukaryota; Metazoa; Chordata; Mammalia; Rodentia; Muridae. The record is from RNAcentral.
GAAAAGUUCAUAAAGCCUUUGUGUUUCCUUCUCCAGGUUUCCCCCAGUCCAGUCUUCCUCCUCUUCCUCCUUCUCUUCCUCCUCCUCCUCCAUCAUCUUCUUCUUCUUCUUCUUCUUCUUCUUCUUCUUCUUCUUCUUCUUCUUCUUCUUCUUCUUCUUCAUCAUCAUCAUCACUAUUAUUGUUCCUAGAGUGAAGAUGAUAUCAUUGGCAUGAGCUUUUGGAGAAGGUGUGAUGAACAGCAUUUUUAUAGACAGCAUUGAAAAUGCAUGGUAUAGAAUAUGACUUUGCUAUAGGCUAUUUGCCUUCUUCUAUCAUUGCGUAUGCAUAAUCUCAUUAGGUCUUUGCACCUAUCUGAGUUUUGUCUUCUUCUGUAGGAACAGAUAGAGUUUUCUUUGCUUUAUAAAGAACGACUUUCUUAAAUUAAUAGUGUAAAGGAAGUUGUUGACUGCUAAAUUUAAAUUUACUCAAUAUCCAUGCUUUAAAAAAAUAUUGAAGCAAAUGAACGCCAGCCAUUAAUUAAAGCAACUGCUUCCAAUAUAGAGAGCUCUUAAGAGCUGAUUAAGCAACAUGCUGUAUUCAUUUGUUCAAUUUCAGAACGCCUUUGCCUUGCCUGAUUUAGCAACAUUUCCCACAGCCUUUCUCAACAUUACAAAUGCUGUUUUGUUUUCUGUAAUAAACACAGUUAAACCAUAAACACAGCUAAACUCAGAGAUUCCCAAGAAAGAAAAGAAAUACACAUGCAUGCACAUGCGUGCAUGAACACACAUACACACACACACACACACACACACACACUUUCUCUCUGUCUUACAUGUACACAUACACAAGUGCACAAGAACAGUUAAACAUAUGACCCCCCUCCCAUGUAUAAUUUGGAGUGAGAACACGCACCAUUUUAAAGUGAAAUUGUUAAUAUUCCCAUCUUGAUUAGUUGGAAGCUAGGAUUCCUUUUCUCAGGUUUUCUCCUCCUUUCCCCUCUUUUCAUAUGUGUGUGUGUGUGUUACUUGAAAGUCAGCCAUAGUCUGAAGGGUGGUGUAGUGGGAAAACAAUAGAAAAACAUUGAUUCUCACCAUUUAUUACCAUGAAAGAACAUCUACAUGCAUGUAGAUCUUGACACAUAAACCCACAUAUAUAAACACAUGUGUGCAUAUCUGUGCAUGUGUAUAGAUUGUAGGUACUUUCUGGUGGAUUAAACACAAGUUGAUAAUGUCUGAGGACUCUCAGGGGGCACAGUGAGAAGCUGCUAUAACAAGUGUGCCCAGUUACUUCAUGUCUGUGCUCACCAGAACUUGUGUGAGAUGAUAUGCAACAAAGAUAUUCCUCAUUGGUCAGAGAUAAUUUCUCUAAAAAAUACUGAGGAAUCUCCACUGGGGGGGGGGGACCCUUAACCAUGAUGUUAGGAGAGACUGGGAUAAUCUUCUAAUCUCUAGUGCUGACCAGGAUGAGCCACUCAGACAUCCCAUUAUGGUGAUCUGUCCUCUUCUGCCAGAAUCGAGAUAACCUAAAAGAAAGGAUUUUUGCAAGUCACUGUCUGACUUUUCCAGGCAAUUCAACAAAUUCUUUUUUAAGGAAAAAAAAAAGCAGCAUUUGUUUUCCUUCAAAGAGUUUCUGUUCUGUGAUUGAGAGGACAUGGUUUUUGGACUGCUGUCUGCAGGAGGAGAAGCCAGAUGGAAGGCAGCUUUCUCUCAGCUCUGGCAAUUAUAACAGUCAUUAAACCCCAGGUAAAUGGGAACUCUUUAAACAUUUGCAGAUAUAAAUCCAACACAGUAGGAAAGUGACCCAAAGGGAAGUGCUUAUUGAUCCAUUUUCCCCCCAGAAAGCUGUCAGUGAGGGAUGAACACCAUCUCAUUUAAUAGAAGUGGCUCUAAGCAUCUUACAGGUGCUCGCCCUACCAUUCCUUGCAGGGCUGUCUGACCACACUCGAGAAGCUUGCCCUUUUCCACCAUCACUUUCCUCAUCUGUUAUUGAGCACAAAAGCCUUAGCUUGGAGCCUUCCAGUGGGAGGCAGCUCAGGAGGAAUACGCCAUCAGGUCGUUUUGUACUACAAAUCCAUUUUUUUUUUGCCAGAUUUUAUCACUUUAUUUUCUCCUCAGUAGGACCUUGUUCACCACUGCCAGCUCCUUUCGGUCCCAGAGAACAAAGAGCAGAGAGGGAGGUUUUAAUGUGGUGCUAUUCACAUGUCAUGGAGUGAGACAGACACGAGCCAUUCUGACUGUCUUGCACAUCUGCUUGUCUUGGAAGCUCACCUUUUCUGUGGCCCACAAUGCAACCAAGGGAUAUGGAAGAGGCCCAACUUGGUCUGAUAGGGUGUUUUCUUGUCACAAAGCCUUCCAUGGGUGAUUCUAGUUUAGAGCAUGUGAGACACAGUUUUGGGAACUCCAGUACAAGACUGGUGAUAGUUGGGUUGGGUGUGUUUAAAAAUUCUGGAGAGUAAACUCCACGGGAGCCCCAUGCCCAGGAGAACUUGGCCAACAGAAAUCAUACUCCAUAUUCCUUCUGUGCCUUUUUGUUUUUUGUGUUCUUAAGAGAGAGAAAGAACACGCUGUUGGAUGGGUGGACUGGGGAUGGAUCUGGCAGCACUUAAAGGAGAGGAAAUAAUAUUAUUAAGAAUAUAUUAUAUAAAAAUUUUCAUACAUGAAUGAAAACAUACAAAGAGAAAUAAGUAAAAUGAUUGAAGAAAAACAUUUUCAACAAACAAAAAUAAAACAAUGCCAUUGGAAGGUAAUUGUUUUCCCUUUGCUAUUUAUAGUCCUGUUGUAGACAAAAAAAUCUCAAAAUUGAUAACCUACAAUAAAGAGACUUAAAAUAAUAAUUGCAUUUUGUUGUGAACCACAAAAUAAAAUUUACCUAGAUUUUUGAAAGCAAUAAGUAGAACCUGGAGAGUCAGGAAAAAGGCUUAUUUUCAUUUCAAUCCGCUUCAUGUUCUCAUCUUCUAGGACAGGAUGUGAACGCAUUGUGGGCUUGUGGGAGAGGCUACAGAACCUCUUGUUUGGAAAUGUUGUACUUCCCAGGCCCCUUGAUUGAUCACUGGUGGGUAGGGUGUCUGCUCCUUCCAGGGAAAGGUACUGAAAUCGUGAGAGAGCAAUGUCCCAGUUGUCUUUCCUCCAUGGUACACUUGACCAUCACAGUUUACAAUGAUCAUGUUUCAAGAUGGAGUUGGAGUAGCUAUCUGAGUGUCCAAAGAUGGAAGCCUAGCAAUCCUUAUGGUAUUUCCCAUGAGAUCUGAAUUUCUCAAUGGCCAUACAUUUGAGACUUAGUGACCCGUGCUUUUGUAAAUUCAUAGCCUAGUGUAGCCUUUCCUGUAUGAAUUGAACAG